This 253-nucleotide ribosomal RNA is filed under the name uncultured bacterium. RNAcentral describes it as "partial 16S ribosomal RNA". It matches the Rfam family "Bacterial small subunit ribosomal RNA", at positions 524 to 776 of the family's 1533-position model. The record is from RNAcentral.
UACGAAGGGGGCUAGCGUUGCUCGGAAUUACUGGGCGUAAAGCGCACGUAGGCGGCUUUCUAAGUCGGGGGUGAAAUCCUGGAGCUCAACUCCAGAACUGCCUUCGAUACUGGAGAGCUCGAGUCCGGGAGAGGUGAGUGGAACUGCGAGUGUAGAGGUGAAAUUCGUAGAUAUUCGCAAGAACACCAGUGGCGAAGGCGGCUCACUGGCCCGGUACUGACGCUGAGGAGCGAAAGCCAGGGGAGCAAACGGG